AACGUAGGAGGCGAGCGUUAUCCGGAUUUACUGGGCGUAAAGCGUGUGCAGGUGGUUCGGCAAGUUGGAUGUGAAAGCUCCUGGCUUAACUAGGAGAGGUCGUUCAAUACUACCGAACUUGAAGGCAUCAGAGGAAGAUGGAAUUCCCGGUGUAGUGGUGAAAUGCGUAGAUAUCGGGAGGAACACCAGUGGCGAAGGCGGUCUUCUGGGAUGUUCUUGACACUCAUACACGAAAGCUAGGGUAG
Molecule: ribosomal RNA, 245 nt
Filed under: uncultured bacterium
Lineage: Bacteria
Description: partial 16S ribosomal RNA
Rfam family: Bacterial small subunit ribosomal RNA
Source: RNAcentral